This 2634-nucleotide long non-coding RNA is filed under the name Apis mellifera (honey bee). RNAcentral describes it as "uncharacterized LOC107964428". The record is from RNAcentral. Lineage: Eukaryota; Metazoa; Arthropoda; Insecta; Hymenoptera; Apidae.
UGGAAAAUUUCUCUUUUCAAUCUUUUCCUCUUUUUGGCGUGGAAAUAUUUGAUUGGAACGGAUUGGGAGAGGCGGAAUUUAUCGAACGUUUGAAAAUUGCGUAAUCUCAGAAUUGGAAUAUUUAAACUUCGCUAUACAAGGUUAUGCAAGAGAGAGGAUGGCUCUGGAUGGAAGAGACAAUUCGGGGAGAGACAGAGAAUGGACGAGGCGAAGGUGUGGCGAGAGACAGGGACGAAUGAGUUGAUCCGCAGCGCCGGUGGAUGACGUCGUGUUUACCCAACUUUCUAUUUAUUCCCGUUCGUUCCGCUUUUAAAUUAUCCGAAAGGAUUCGGGAAACUGCAGCUGCUACAUCCUAUUACUCAUCGGCUGGCAUCAUAAAAUACCGGUUAUUUACAUAGACGGACUCUUUAACGCCGUUCCUAUAAAUUAUACAUACUCGAUUAUCCCCCUCCGAUUCGAAAUUAAACUUCGGCAGCAUUAAAAUUUUAAUCGUUGGCCAACUCUCUUAGGUAAUCGAAAGGUGAAAAUAAUCCCCAAGGAACAAAGAAAUUUACCUUAUCUUACGUAAAUUAUAAUUGCAGCAAAUAUAUCCUUCUCUCUAUUCGACUAUUGAUGAAUAUCUGAAAAUUUUUCUACUGAAAAUAAAAAUAAAAAAAUCGUAACGAGAUCGAUUCAAAUCUAAAUUCCAAGAAGAUCCUGUCUUUCGAUUCUUAAUCGUCGAAGGAGCGAGAAAAUCGACGAACAAGAUCGAUGCAAUUAAAGCGUCUAUCGAUAAGCGAUUACUGAUAUUGGUAUCGGAUCGAGUUCAUCAUCGAUUCAGCGACAUCCGAACCGAUAUUUCAUCGACGGUGAAUUUUUCAUCUUCGAGACGAAACGUGGACUUACCAAGGACUUUUUCACAUUUUCGACGAGAGAACGAGCCAACAAACACACGUGGGGGCAGUCUACGGUUGCAUCUAUAAUCCAGGAAGCCUCUGUAUACACACGAGAGAGGGGCAGACGUUUGCUCAGCUUUUAUUCCUCCAGAUGCCAGGAAAAAGUCGGAAAAAACGGAAUCUCCUUCCUUUUCCAACUUUCGGGGAUCUUUCCAAAACUUUUCCCCUCGAAUGCAAACGAAUUUUUCGCGCCUGCGUUUGAACGUAUUUAACUCUAAUUUUUAAUCGAAAGCUUCUUUUAAAGUAGACUAUAUUUUGACUUCGACUUUGUUUUCUUAAAAUAUGGUAAAAUUUAUUUAUUUUUGAAAUCGAUUCAAAAUGAUUUGGAAUGGAAAAUAAAAUUCGCCCAAAGAAAUUCUUAAUAAAGAAGCUUAAGUUAAAAUAGAUCAAUUCAUUUUUCGAAUUCCAACAAAAUCAUCUCUCAUUUCAGAAUUCAUCGUGAAACGAAACUUUUCCCCAUUUUAUCCAAAGUUCGAUCAAAGAAGACGGAAUGGAUGGAACCAAUUAAAAAUUAAUCACUCGAAAUUUGAUCCCCGGCUAAUUAACCGGAUACGAAAAGUUUAAUCGCAUACCACGCGUAAUUAAUCGUUCCAAGCUCGCCUCGAAACGAACAGAGAGAGAAACUAUGUGGAUACGUGUCGCGGGCAAGAAUUUGCCAAUCCAGCGUUGAUAAACGGUGUUUCGCGACUUGGCGGUCAUACGAAUCCUCCUCUUGCACAACAGGAAACGUGCCUGUUUUACUGGCCUACCACACUUUAAAUAAAAGAAGAGUUACUUGUAAUAAAAAUUCGAUCGACCAAAAACUCUUGCUCUGACUCCUUUCCUUUCGAAAAAAAAAAAAAAGGAAGAGAUGCGUGUGGAACAAAUUUAUUUCCGUUUAAUGCAAUGAUAAAUCGCGGGGAUAAUUUGAAACUUUUCCAUCGGGGAUAAACGUCCGUUGGAGAGGAACGAAUCUGGAAUUCAACGACUCUCGCUCUUGGGAAGGGAGGAGAGGAAAAAUUUCGAAGAAACUCGCCAGGCUGGUUUUAUUAUUGAUAAAAAACGAAAAACAAAAAGUACGUCGGUUGCGCGAGGAUGUUAAUGGAUUUUCGAAACGUCCUGUUAAUUGAAUGUAACUAAAUUUUCUGCGUGAACGGCUGCAAAAAGCCAUUCUCUGGUGUUGUCUCUCGUUCGAUUCAAAAAUCUCGGCUAACUUUCACCCCACUUACGGCUAGCUGUAAGUGAGAUGCGCGAGGAUUGAAAAUUGAAAAGAUCGAUUGUGAUUGUUUCGAUGACGUUUCGAUAAAUAUUCUGAUUCUAAAUAUCAAUAUAUUAUCCGUGCAAUGCAAAGAUAUUUUUGUAUAUUAACCGCGUUGUUUCUCCAUUUUCCUUUCAAUAACGUUAAUACGCAACGUGACCGAUAUCAGUUUCGAGUAAGUUAAAGCAGCUAAUUAACGAAAUGCCAUUAAAGUAAAACCAUUACGCGCAUUAACACUAAUCUUAUCGACAAAUCGUUCAUGACGUUCUUUACCGUUUAUCGGUAAAACUUUGUUCUUAUUUUCUACGUGUUCUAAUUCUCCUUUUCAAAAAAUACUACCAGUUCUUAUUAAUGUUGAAUUUUGGAACGACAAUUCUUCCUUUCUUAUAUCAUUCAAAAUGUAUAUCAACAAUUGUUAAUCAAUCAAUAAAUUCCAGUAAGCCAAGUUGAAGAACAAAGUAA